AGAGUUUGAUCCUGGCUCAGGACGAACGCUGGCGGCGUGCUUAACACAUGCAAGUCGAACGAUGAAGCCCUUCGGGGUGGAUUAGUGGCGAACGGGUGAGUAACACGUGGGCAACCUGCCCUCCACUCUGGGAUAACUCCGGGAAACCGGGGCUAAUACUGGAUAUGACCUCCUGCCGCAUGGUGGGUGGUGGAAAGUUUUUCGGUGGAGGAUGGGCCCGCGGCCUAUCAGCUUGUUGGUGGGGUGAUGGCCUACCAAGGCGGUGACGGGUAGCCGGCCUGAGAGGGCGACCGGCCACACUGGGACUGAGACACGGCCCAGACUCCUGCGGGAGGCAGCAGUGGGGAAUAUUGCACAAUGGGCGCAAGCCUGAUGCAGCGACGCCGCGUGAGGGAUGACGGCCUUCGGGUUGUAAACCUCUUUCAGCAGGGACCAAGGGUGACUGAGUGUACCUGCAGAAGAAGCACCGGCUAACUACGUGCCAGCAGCCGCGGUAAUACGUAGGGUGCGAGCGUUGUCCGGAUUUAUUGGGCGUAAAGGGCUCGUAGGCGGCCUGUCGCGUCGGGAGUGAAAGCCCACUGCUUAACGGUGGGUCUGCUUCCGGUACGGGCGGGCUGGAGUAUGGCAGGGGAGACUGGAAUUCCUGGUGUAGCGGUGGAAUGCGCAGAUAUCAGGAGGAACACCGGUGGCGAAGGCGGGUCUCUGGGCCAUUACUGACGCUGAGGAGCGAAAGCGUGGGGAGCGAACAGGAUUAGAUACCCCCGUAGUCC
Molecule: ribosomal RNA, 770 nt
Filed under: uncultured bacterium
Lineage: Bacteria
Description: bacterial SSU rRNA
Rfam family: Bacterial small subunit ribosomal RNA
Source: RNAcentral